AGACCGCUGAACUUAAGCAUAUCAAUAAGCGGAGGAAAAGAAACCAACAGGGAUUGCCCUAGUAACGGCGAGUGAAGCGGCAACAGCUCAAAUUUGAAAUCUGGCUCUUUUAGAGUCCGAGUUGUAAUUUGCAGAGGGCGCUUUGGCUUUGGCAGCGGUCCAAGUUCCUUGGAACAGGACGUCACAGAGGGUGAGAAUCCCGUACGUGGUCGCUGGCUAUUGCCGUGUAAAGCCCCUUCGACGAGUCGAGUUGUUUGGGAAUGCAGCUCUAAAUGGGAGGUACAUUUCUUCUAAAGCUAAAUAUUGGCCAGAGACCGAUAGCGCACAAGUAGAGUGAUCGAAAGAUGAAAAGCACUUUGGAAAGAGAGUCAAACAGCACGUGAAAUUGUUGAAAGGGAAGCGCUUGCAGCCAGACUUGCUUACAGUUGCUCAUCCGGGUUUCUACCCGGUGCACUCUUCUGUAGGCAGGCCAGCAUCAGUUUGGGCGGUAGGAUAAAGGUCUCUGUCACGUACCUCCUUUCGGGGAGGCCUUAUAGGGGAGACGACAUACUACCAGCCUGGACUGAGGUCCGCGCAUCUGCUAGGAUGCUGGCGUAAUGGCUGUAAGCGGCCCGUCUUGAAACACGGACCAAGGAGUCUAACAUCUAUGCGAGUGUUUGGGUGUCAAGCCCGAGCGCGUAAUGAAAGUGAACGGAGGUGGGAACCCGCAAGGGUGCACCAUCGACCGAUCCUGAUGUCUUCGGAAGGAUUUGAGUAAGAGCAUGGCUGUUGGGACCCGAAAGAUGGUGAACUAUGCUUGAAUAGGGUGAAGCCAGAGGAAACUCUGGUGGAGGCUCGCAGCGGUUCUGACGUGCAAAUCGAUCGUCAAAUUUGGGCAUAGGGGCGAAAGACUAAUCGA
RNAcentral lists this ribosomal RNA (898 nucleotides) under Alternaria alternata. RNAcentral describes it as "eukaryotic LSU rRNA". It matches the Rfam family "Eukaryotic large subunit ribosomal RNA", at positions 24 to 938 of the family's 3401-position model. Lineage: Eukaryota; Fungi; Ascomycota; Dothideomycetes; Pleosporales; Pleosporaceae. The record is from RNAcentral.